Molecule: ribosomal RNA, 515 nt
Filed under: Beania plurispinosa
Lineage: Eukaryota; Metazoa; Bryozoa; Gymnolaemata; Cheilostomatida; Beaniidae
Description: partial 16S ribosomal RNA
Rfam family: Bacterial large subunit ribosomal RNA
Source: RNAcentral
AACAUAGCUUUUAGAAAUUAUUACAAGUCACGUCUGCCCGGUGAUCUUAAUUGGUUUAACGGCCGCGUUUAGUGCUAAGGUAGCAUAAUUAUUUGCCUUUUUAUUGGAGGCUAGUAUGAAUGGAUUAACGAAGCUUGACUGUCUCUAGUUAUUUUAUUAAAAAUUGGUUUAAAGGUGAAAAAACCUUUAUUUAUUUGUAGGACGAGAAGACCCUAUAGAGUUUGUAGUGAAAUUUAUUAUGUAUUGUGUUUAUAGAGAUUAAAAAUUUGAUUAUUUUAAAUUCACUUUUAUUGGGGCAAUAAAAGAAAAAUUAAAAAUUCUAAACUAUCAUAAUUUAUAAUUUUAAAAUUUUUAGAUCCUCUAAGAGAAUUAAGAAAAACUACCUUAGGGAUAACAGCGUAAUUCUACCAGAGAGGGCUAAUCGAAGGGAGAGUUUGCGACCUCGAUGUUGGACUAAGGGUUCUUAUAAGUGCAGAAGCUUAGAAGAGUAGGCCUGUUCGGCCUUUAAUACCUUA